This 75-nucleotide transfer RNA is filed under the name Rhodospirillaceae bacterium. Its description in RNAcentral is "tRNA-Gln". It matches the Rfam family "tRNA". Rfam says of the family: Transfer RNA (tRNA) molecules are approximately 80 nucleotides in length. Their secondary structure includes four short double-helical elements and three loops (D, anti-codon, and T loops). The record is from RNAcentral. Lineage: Bacteria; Pseudomonadati; Pseudomonadota; Alphaproteobacteria; Rhodospirillales; Rhodospirillaceae.
UGGGGCAUAGUAUAAUUGGUAGUACAGCGGAUUCUGAUUCCGUCAGUCCUGGUUCAAGUCCAGGUGCCCCAGCCA